RNAcentral lists this ribosomal RNA (467 nucleotides) under uncultured bacterium. RNAcentral describes it as "partial 16S ribosomal RNA". It matches the Rfam family "Bacterial small subunit ribosomal RNA", at positions 28 to 507 of the family's 1533-position model. The record is from RNAcentral.
GAUGAACGCUGGCGGCGUGCUUAACACAUGCAAGUCGAACGGUGAAGCAGAGCUUGCUCUGUGGAUCAGUGGCGAACGGGUGAGUAACACGUGAGCAACCUGCCCCUGACUCUGGGAUAAGCGCUGGAAACGGCGUCUAAUACUGGAUAUGAGCUGCGACCGCAUGGUCAGCAGUUGGAAAGAUUUUUCGGUCUGGGAUGGGCUCACGGCCUAUCAGCUUGUUGGUGAGGUAAUGGCUCGCCAAGGCGUCGACGGGUAGCCGGCCUGAGAGGGUGACCGGCCACACUGGGACUGAGACACGGCCCAGACUCCUACGGGAGGCAGCAGUGGGGAAUAUUGCACAAUGGGCGAAAGCCUGAUGCAGCAACGCCGCGUGAGGGAUGACGGCCUUCGGGUUGUAAACCUCUUUUAGCAGGGAAGAAGCGAAAGUGACGGUACCUGCAGAAAAAGCGCCGGCUAACUACGUG